CACCUCACAAACCACAGUAAAAAUUGUAUUUUAUUUUAUUUUAAAAGUAUUUUUUUUAAAUAAAAUCCACACGUUACAUAUAUUUAAUUAAAUAUAUUUAAUUCCCAGGUAGAAAUUAGAGUCAAUUUGAGGUCACUUUUUGACUUUACAUGUUAAUUUGAUAGGAGAAGUCAAAAAAUUGACUCUUAUUUCUACCUGGGAAAAUAUUUUAUAUUAUUCGUGACUUUGUCAAAAGUUUCUUCAUCACCUGCUGCAUAUGGCAAAGUAGCUAUUGAUGCAAUUAGUUUCAUUUCAAGUGUUAUAACAAUUGCAUGAGCUGGCGAAGAUAUUACAUAAAUAAUUUAUUAUAUCACACGAGUUACCACGCAAACAAGAAAAAGGUCAUAAAUAUAUUAUUAGAAUGUUAUAUAAAAAAAAAAUGGUCACGCUAUAAUUAAAAAAUAAUCAAACAUUAUCUAUUGAUGCUGAAAGUGAACAAAUAAUAUCAUUAAUAGACAAUUUUCCAGAAGGUAUUUUGUUGGAAAUAUGUCGGAAUUAUUUUUUAAAAAUAAAAAGCCAGAAAAAAUAACGUUAUUAGAAAAUAAUUACGAAAAUAUAUUUAAGAGAGAUAUUAUGAUAAUAUGUUCUAUGAAAUUAUCAUCACAGAAUCAAUUAUUUUCAUUGUACAAAGAAAUUGUUCAUAAUGAAGCAACAAGUUUUGCUGUUAUGCCGAAUUUUGUCCGUCGAUGUGAUCCAAUUGAAUAACAAAAAGAUUUAACAUAUGCUGGAUUUGCUAACUUUGUUAAUGCAUUUGUAACAAAUCAAGAAAAUUUUAAACCCAAAAAUGAAGAAAAAUGUGAAAAAACAAAAAAUAAUUUCAAACAAUACGAAACAAUUUGUCAAGAUAAAAUUACUGGUUGUACAAAUGAUGUUUGUCAAAGAGUUGAUUAAUAAUUUAAACAAACAAAUUAAUAAAAUCAAAUUGAUUAUAAAAUUUAAUCAUUAAUAUUUAUAGCAAAAAAAUGAUAGUAAAAGUGCAAGAAACUAUCAUUGGAUUAAAAAUAAGGACAAUAAUUUUUGUCAAUGUUUGGACGAUCGACUUGAUACCAACAACAAAACAAUUCAAGCAUUCAGUUACAUGUGGCCUAAUACAAGUGGUGACAAAUUGAGUACACCAAUUGUUUUAAAUUAUAAUUAAUUUAUUUUAUAAUGUUUUUUAUUU
Long non-coding RNA from Aphidius gifuensis, 1201 nucleotides. RefSeq lists it as uncharacterized. The record is from RefSeq and is a predicted model, not a curated record. The transcript has 4 exons. Lineage: Eukaryota; Metazoa; Arthropoda; Insecta; Hymenoptera; Braconidae.